AUGGGGAGGAGAAAGGGCAACGAGAAACAUGGGGAUGCAGCCCGGAUGAGAGGAUGGCAUCUAGGGUUUUUACCUCCUGCUCUUAUCCCCUGGCCAGUCAGCGCUCUUCAACAAGCUGCUUCCCACAACGCACACAACCUCUUCCCCAUCGCUGCUCCUUCCCCACCUCUGUUCCUCCCCUCAACUGCACAAGAUGCAAACUGUCCUCCGCAACCUGGAGCGAUGCCCAACGAGGAGAGCGGCAGAGGCCAGUAUGGAAGGGGAAGAGAAGGGGCUCGUGGCAGGGGCGGGGAUGGAGGAAGGAAAGGGCGGUGGCGCGGUCUUCCCCGCGGCUGCACCCCAUCGCUACCGGAGCGCAGUCCCCGCUGCUCUUCUCUGGCACGGAUCCACCGCCCAUGUGCAUCUCCUUUGCUAGCGCCGCCGGAGUGA
This 429-nucleotide ribosomal RNA is filed under the name Triticum aestivum (bread wheat). RNAcentral's name for it is "partial small subunit ribosomal RNA". Lineage: Eukaryota; Viridiplantae; Streptophyta; Magnoliopsida; Poales; Poaceae. The record is from RNAcentral.